UAUUCUGGAGAUCCCUUCAAAGGAACAGCUUUAUGACCCUGCCCAUGACUCUUUUCUCUCACGAUUGAAGUAUCUCUUCUCUACUGAAUUAGUAGCAUCUGAAAGUCGUUGAUGAUGGAAUAGUGUUUUUACACGCCCGAAUCAUUGUUCAUAUCUGAAUGUUGUAUUCUCUGUUACCUUGCCCUCGUAUGGCCUUGUUGUCUUGUGAGUACCGUAUAAAGAUUCCCUCAUCACUUCUAGCAUCAAAUUUUUCCAAGGAGUCCUUCCCAUUACUAUGAGCAAAACAACUACAUUCAAAUGACCCCAGAAAGUGACAAAAAUGUGAUGUGAUCGUGGUGAUGACUUUGGUUCAACGAGGAAUAUAAAACGUUGGAGUAGUAAAGUAUGGUUUCAUUUGUGUAACUUUCCUAGUGGUGGCUGGAUGUU
Molecule: long non-coding RNA, 426 nt
Organism: Solanum dulcamara
Lineage: Eukaryota; Viridiplantae; Streptophyta; Magnoliopsida; Solanales; Solanaceae
Exons: 3
Source: RefSeq, a predicted model, not a curated record